RNAcentral lists this long non-coding RNA (1087 nucleotides) under Olea europaea subsp. europaea. Lineage: Eukaryota; Viridiplantae; Streptophyta; Magnoliopsida; Lamiales; Oleaceae. The record is from RNAcentral.
AUCUAUACAUAUGCAUUUACACUGUUUUUGCUCUGCUAUAAAAGUCCGUUUCGCUCCAACAUUUUUGGUCACAAAUUUUGCUGCUUUAGUUUAAUCCUUAUAAGAAAUCAAUAUAUUUUCUGCACUCUUAUUUGUGUAAUUGAAGUAACUGCUAAUUGGUUUAAUUAUGGCGGGAAACUUAUGCACACAGUUUAAUAUGAUUGUUACGGCGGAGGAGUCUCUAGUUUGUAGGUAAUUUCAUUGAAAUUCUUGGUUUUUAGUAUUAUUUUAAAUAUUUAAUUGAAUAUUAAAUUUGAUAGUCACCAACUUAGGGUUCUUACUCUAUGCUCGUUAGAGUAUAGCUUCUUUAAUUCAAGUUGCUUAUGCAAAUGCUAUCGGAUGAUGCAAUUCUAAAUUAUUAUUAUUUUGCUUCUUGAAGAAUGUUGAAGUUCCAAUUCCCACUCCAAGUAAAUAUGAAGUGCUGCUAAAGUUAGAAGCCACCAGCUUAAACGCAUUUGAUUGGAAAAUUCAGAAGGGUGUAACUCGACCAUUGAUUCCUCGCAGAUACCUGGUAACCUUACUGUCCCGUAUUUUACAAUAAAAAACGGAUUUUGUUAUUUCACGAGUUUGAAUGGUUGCUUGAGAUUGUGAAUUCCAAACUGUGUUGGCUCAACCAAAUGAAUUUUAGGGGAGAAAGAACAAACUAUCUAACAGAGCAAUAGAGAGAGAUGAUGGGCUACCAACAUUGGUUCGAUACAUACAUAUUCGAGAAAGGUGUACCUUUGGACGGAGAUAAUUGAGCAUCAAGCUCAAGCGGCAUCUCAUCCGCUUGAGUAUCAAUAACGUGAGCAAGCUAAACGACAUUUGGUGUACACUUAGCCGCCUAUUUGUCUCCAUUUGAAAUAAAACUCUUAAUUCUCAUGCUCAUUUUCAAUAAAUACUUUGCACUUAAACUCAAAACUUUUCCCUACUUUUUAACCACACAUUCUCUAAAAAUCACAAUUCAAAACAUCAUUUUUCUCAAUAAUGGCCACUAAAUAGUGGCUUAGACUGAGACAGGGGAGAGAAAACAACUUCUAUCCCCAGGACACAUGACAUAGUGAGUCCA